GAGAGUUUAUACGUAGCUUCUCCACUACUUAAAGAUUUUCACCGCUUGUUUUGUUAAAGCAUUAAUUUUUUCAAAGUGUUUUCUUGGGCCAGCUGGCUAUAUAUAAUACUAACUUAAACAUUAUAAUGCUUUUUAUUCACAUAUGUAAGUCGAUUUUUGAUUUGUAAACCAUUAAAUAGCAAACUCUGACCUUCAGCAGCACUGCUACGCUAUACAAGCGUUACAUCGCCAGGUAUUUUAACGUGGUUAAGAGAACCAUUUUUAUGUAUAUUCGGUUUUUUGGAGCAUAAACAGUUGCCAAAAAAGCUAGACAGUUAAGCAGUGACUUAACAAAAUAUUUGUUAGGGCGGUGAACACCAAUAUAACGCCAUCGUUCAUUAUUAUCUAUUACAAGUAUUCUAUUUAAUAUUUGUUAAUAUUGUUAUUACUUUAGACUUUGCUAAAUUUGCUGCGACAAGAGAGAUAUCAUGAUAGACAUCGAUAAAUUAGUGCUGUUAAAUAUGGUGCUGCUGUUACUAUCUGGCGGGACGCAUUUUUAUUUUUUGUGAACAUAUUUUCGGACGGAUGCGUAUCUAAUUUCCCUCCCCAGUUUGCAUGCGAAGCCUGAAAUUAAUUAUUUUCAGUCAAUUUAUAUCAGUAUUAUUAUUAUUACAUAAUAUUGAUGGACCUGCCUCCUAACUCGCAUUUCAAAAGCCGUUUAGCUGACCACUUCUUUCUCUUUGUUUUGUUCUGCUGUUAAACAUGUGAUGCAAUCAAAUUAUUAAAUGAAUAAACACUGUAUCAUGAUAUAUCGCAGAACAUAUAGGCACCAAGCCAGCAAAAUUUGUACUGAUAAUUGCAUUAAUCGAUAAUAUGCGCUGUUUCCAGCUCAACUAGAUAGCCAGGCUGGCGCAUAUAUAUCACUCGCCCUCACUGAAUGCUUUCCCAUAAGGCUGUCGCUGUUUUUGCCGCUUGUCAUUUAACAAAGUCUAAUGUCAUUCAGCUAUGAUUGAGUUCGUUCGUUCAUUAUUCAAUAACUAAUAGGUUAUUCACACGGACGAACAUCCACCAUCCAUUUCGGGGAAGGUCCGUUAUGUUUUGCCUCUACAAAAAUUUCCCAGUUAUUCCACUAUCCAUCUGGGUUUUACCUAAACCGCACGUUAUUUAGACGAUGGUUUUCAAAUGCAAAUAUGUCACGCCUAGACAUAUUUCAAAUCGUUCAAGACCAAAAAAGGAAAAAAUACACCAGAGGCAAUACAAAAUGGUGAGAGCAGAAACUGCUGGUAGUAACCUUAAUAAGUAUACAUAUCCAUUAAAGUUGUUGAAGUGGACUGCGUUGAUAAAAAAUAUAUACAUAUUUGGCAUGAUAAUUCUGCGGAUUGUUUUGGUUAUCGAAAUAAUUCAGUUGAUGUCGACCAGGACAGAUACAACGCAGAUCUAGUAUUUUUUCCGCACCAGCAGCCAAGGCCAAACCAAAUUCCAAACAGAGCUGCCGCAAAUUUUUAGGAAGUCCAAAGAGUAACAUUUGUUACACUUAUAUGGAUUGUUUUAUUACAGUCAAUAAAACAGCCAAUUUACUAAUUUAAACUUGUGAAAAUUUCACAAUUCAGACCAAAACUUUAUAAUUUUAUGCUCAUCAGCUGCUUUUUGACGGAUGGUGCCAGGGUGAAUCAGGGUUUCACAUUUCUCAAAAAAUCAUAUCGUUCCCCCGGGAUGUGCUCUGUGUGCAGUUCGUUCUCUCAGUUUGUUGGAUUUUGUUGUUCGUUUAUUUUCGUUCGUCCCUUUUUGUUUGAUAAGUCAUGGGCCUCUUAUUUCCCGAUACAUCGUAUCGGACUAUCGACUAUGGACAAGCUCUAGUAGCGGCUGAAAGUCUAACUCGUCUAACUCCCGUGAAGCGAACUGCACCUAUACCGCCCUCGGAGGAGGCGCAGCCACGCCUUGCCUUUGUCGGUCCGUCGAAGGAAAACAGAAAACAAGAGCUGGCUCCGCUUCCCAUCCGGGAAAACUUCUACUUAAAAAGGGUAUACGUACUAGUAAAUAAAACUGAAGGCGCGAUGUGAAUGCCUAUACCCUUCUUGUAUAAAAUUAACUCUUCCCAAACGGGAAGAACUGUAUGAACUUGUAUGAACUGUGAAAGGUUUGCACACCGUAAUCAUCUGCUUCAUCAGUUUGUAUUGAUUUUGAUAAGAAAAAAUUUUAAAUGGCUAAUCGAUAGGAUGAUAGGGAAACAUACAAGAAGCUAAAAAUUUUGAUGAAAUUUGAAA
This is a long non-coding RNA of Drosophila pseudoobscura, 2243 nucleotides long. RefSeq lists it as uncharacterized. Lineage: Eukaryota; Metazoa; Arthropoda; Insecta; Diptera; Drosophilidae. The record is from RefSeq and is a predicted model, not a curated record. The transcript is spliced from 2 exons.